This 65-nucleotide transfer RNA is filed under the name Anatkina vespertinula. RNAcentral describes it as "tRNA-Asn". Lineage: Eukaryota; Metazoa; Arthropoda; Insecta; Hemiptera; Cicadellidae. The record is from RNAcentral.
UUAAUUAAAACCAAAAUUGAGGUAUCUUAAUGUUAAUAAGACAAUUGAAUAAUUUUCUAAUUAAA